GGGAGCCGUGUACACGGAAACGGGUACGCACGGAUCUAACUGAGAGGUGCGAAGGAUAAUACCUUACAUCGACUCAAC
Molecule: non-coding RNA, 78 nt
Organism: Nodularia spumigena CCY9414
Lineage: Bacteria; Bacillati; Cyanobacteriota; Cyanophyceae; Nostocales; Nodulariaceae
Source: Rfam